AGAGUUUGAUCAUGGCUCAGAACGUACGCUGGCGGCACGCCUAACACAUGCAAGUCGAACGAAGUAGCAAUACUUAGUGGCAGACGGGUGAGUAACAUGUAGGUAUCUGCCCUUUGGCCUGGAAUAACACGAGGAAACUUGUGCUAAUACCGGAUAAGUCUUUACGGAGAAAGCUUUAUGCACCAUUGGAUGAGCCUGCACUUGAUUAGUUUGUUGGUGGGGUAAUGGCCUACCAAGACUGUGAUCAAUAGCUGAUUUGAGAGGAUGAUCAGCCACAUUGGGACUGAGACACGGCCCAAACUCCUACGGGAGGCAGCAGUGGGGAAUCUUGCACAAUGGAGGAAACUCUGAUGCAGCGAUGCCGCGUGAGUGAAGAAGGCCCUUGGGUUGUAAAGCUCUUUCGUCGGGGAAGAAAAUGACUGUACCCGAAUAAGAAGGUCCGGCUAACUUCGUGCCAGCAGCCGCGGUAAUACGAAGGGACCUAGCGUAGUUCGGAAUUACUGGGCUUAAAGAGUUCGUAGGUGGUUGAAAAAGUUAGUGGUGAAAUCCCAGAGCUUAACUCUGGAACUGCCAUUAAAACUUUUCAGCUAGAGUAUGAUAGAGGAAAGCAGAAUUUCUAGUGUAGAGGUGAAAUUCGUAGAUAUUAGAAAGAAUACCAAUUGCGAAGGCAGCUUUCUGGAUCAUUACUGACACUGAGGAACGAAAGCAUGGGUAGCGAAGAGGAUUAGAUACCCUCGUAGUCCAUGCCGUAACGAUGUGUGUUAGACGU
This 769-nucleotide ribosomal RNA is filed under the name marine metagenome. Its description in RNAcentral is "bacterial SSU rRNA". It matches the Rfam family "Bacterial small subunit ribosomal RNA", at positions 8 to 823 of the family's 1533-position model. The record is from RNAcentral.